UGGGGAAUAUUGGACAAUGGGCGCAAGCCUGAUCCAGCCAUGCCGCGUGAGUGAUGAAGGCCCUAGGGUUGUAAAGCUCUUUCACCGGUGAAGAUAAUGACGGUAACCGGAGAAGAAGCCCCGGCUAACUUCGUGCCAGCAGCCGCGGUAAUACGAAGGGGGCUAGCGUUGUUCGGAUUUACUGGGCGUAAAGCGCACGUAGGCGGACUUUUAAGUCAGGGGUGAAAUCCCGGGGCUCAACCCCGGAACUGCCUUUGAUACUGGGAGUCUUGAGUAUGGUAGAGGUGAGUGGAAUUCCGAGUGUAGAGGUGAAAUUCGUAGAUAUUCGGAGGAACACCAGUGGCGAAGGCGGCUCACUGGACCAUUACUGACGCUGAGGUGCGAAAGCGUGGGGAGCAAACA
Molecule: ribosomal RNA, 402 nt
Filed under: Pseudomonas sp.
Lineage: Bacteria; Pseudomonadati; Pseudomonadota; Gammaproteobacteria; Pseudomonadales; Pseudomonadaceae
Also listed under: 3 other names
Description: partial 16S ribosomal RNA
Rfam family: Bacterial small subunit ribosomal RNA
Source: RNAcentral